This is a long non-coding RNA of Podarcis muralis (Common wall lizard), 432 nucleotides long. RefSeq lists it as uncharacterized. The record is from RefSeq and is a predicted model, not a curated record. Lineage: Eukaryota; Metazoa; Chordata; Lepidosauria; Squamata; Lacertidae.
AACAAUCUCCUUUCCCUUCCUCCCCCACAACAAACACUCUGUGAGGUAACAGAAGCAUAUUUUAAACUGCCUAGGACCAGGGCCAUUGUAUGCGCCAGAUAGUCAAUUAUCCUGUUUUGCUCCAGGAGAACAAAGCAUCUACAAAACUUCCCUAAGAAGAACAAAGGCACCAUCCUUGGGUUGCAUUUUGAUGGAAUAUUUCUAUUGUCUAUUGUUUAUAGUGUCAUAUUUGAAACCAAUUCAGGGUUUUAAUCAGCAGGUUGAUCUUCCAGUCCACGCCAGGAGACUUCUGACUGUUAUGUAGGGAUAAAUAACACCACCUUUCAGCACAAGACUCCCAGGAAGAUGUAAACAGUAAUUUAAAAUAGCAGAACAACUACAGUGGUACCUUGGUACUCAAAUGGCUUGGCUCCCGAACAAAUCAGCUCCCGA